UUACAUCAGCAGUCAUCUCUGUGAUAGCGUGCGGUUGGCCCCACCUCCAGCCAGGAGGCCCGUUUGGAUAUCCUCCAAAACCUAGUGGCUAAUACACGGUCGCCAAGGUCUGCUACGAUACGGUCUUGCCAGGCUUUCCGCCUGCCUGACCGGCAGUGGAUUGCACCCAGCCGCUCCUGAAGACCAGCGCCUGGAACAUAUGGCAGUGUGUUGUGGUUGACUCAGGCUGGUCCCUCGUGGACACCUGUGCUGGCAGAGUGGUGGUUUCGGCCACAGCAUUGCUUGAUCACACGAACUUCUGACCUAUCAGCCUGGAUGGUGGUGCAGCGGACCACCAUGGCAGUGACGGGUAACGGAGAAUCAGGGUUUGAUUCCGGAGAGGGAGCCUGAGAGACGGCUACCACUGCUAAGGCGGGCAGCAGGCACGCAAAUUGCCCCAUGCUGACACACUGGUGAGGCAGCAACGAACUGCAGCAAUUCCACCUGUCCCUGUGAUGGGUGGAACUUGCAAUGGAUGCAAUCCAAACACAGUGAUGAGUAUCAACUGGAGGGCAAGUCUGGUGCCAGCAGCUGCGGUAAUUCCAGCUCCAAGGGCGUAUACUAACAUUGCUGUUGUUAAAACACUUGUAGUCGGAUGCUGGGUGCAGGUCUGUUGGGCGGCAGCUGCAGGGUUCGCUCUGUCGCUGGCAACAACCCCCCGCAGUAUGUUCCUGCACCCGUUCUCAUGGCGGUGUGAAUUGCUCCUGCUCCAAGUCUCCUUCAGUGGGGAUCGAUGCGGUUGUAUACCCAACGCUUGUGUGUUGACGCCCUUGGGGGGUGUGGUCCAUGCCACACAGUGCCCCCAGUCCACCACCGGAGUCCACUGCCUCAGACACCGUGGAAAACUCAGUGUGCCCAAAGCGUCCAUCUCGGCUGGAUGACCGUCCAUGGAAUGUCAAAGCAUCGACCGGAUGUGGCUAUGGAGUUGUGCUGGCCUUGGUGCCCGUCUCGGGGAACAUGGCUCAGUCCCCAGUCUUGCAGAGGCAUUGCUGCAACCGUGGCGGUGUCACCCUGCCUGGCUGUUGGGCUGUGUCGCUCGUCCAUGAUGGGACUGCUCGGGGUGAAAGAUAUUGCAACGCCAGAGGUGAAAUUCUUAGAUCGCUGCAAGAUCAACUGCAGCGAAGGCGUUCUGCAAGUGCAAGUUNGUCGAUCAAGAAUGUGAGUGUGGGGAGCGAAGAUGAUCAGACACCGUCGUAGUCCACAACUGUAAACUAUGCCAGCUCGGUGUUGAUGGGGCAAGUACACGGACCCCUUCAGCGCCAUGCCCCCUGCAACGAGAAAUCCAAGCCUAUGGGUUCAAGGGGGAGUACUGUCGCAAGGCUGAAACUUAAAGGAAUUGACGGAAUGGCACCACAAGGCGUGGAGUAUGCGGCUUAAUUUGACUCAACACGGGGAAUGUUACCAGGUCCGGACGUUGCUGGGAUGGACAGAUUGAGAGCUCUUUCUUGAUCCUUCGGAUGGUGGUGCAUGGCCGNUCCUGAUUGGUGGAGUGAUUUGUCUGGUUGAUUCCGAUAACGAGUGAGACAUCUGCCUCCCAAUAGCCCCGGCCUCACAAUCGUAGGGCGUCCGCCUUGGACGCCUGUGGGUCUACCCUACAGGUCCCACAGCGGUACGCCUGAGAGGCUAGCGGUUCAGCUUCUCUGAGGUGCUGUGUACGCUACCAAGUGCAUGCAUGCUAGAGCCAACAGCAGGUCUGUGAUGCUCCCAGAUGUCCUGGGCCGCACGCGCACUACAUUGGCCCGGUGAAUAUGCUGUGCCUCUCUNGUAGAGACCUGCCCGGAAGUGGGUGGGGAACCCUUGGAGCCCGUCCUAUGGCCGUACUGGGGAUAGAUGAUUGCAACUGUCUGCCUUGAACGAGGAAUGCCUAGUAAGCGUGGGUCAUCAGCCCG
This 1928-nucleotide ribosomal RNA is filed under the name Lepocinclis globosa. RNAcentral's name for it is "SSU rRNA". It matches the Rfam family "Eukaryotic small subunit ribosomal RNA", at positions 101 to 1638 of the family's 1831-position model. The record is from RNAcentral. Lineage: Eukaryota; Euglenozoa; Euglenophyceae; Euglenales; Phacaceae.